AACGUAGGAGGCAAGCGUUAUCCGGAAUCACUGGGCGUAAAGCGUCUGUAGGUGGUCAAAUAAGUCAACUGUUAAAUCUUGAGGCUCAACCUCAAAACCGCAGUCGAAACUAUUAGACUAGAGUAUAGUAGGGGUAAAGGGAAUUUCCAGUGGAGCGGUGAAAUGCGUAGAGAUUGGAAAGAACACCGAUGGCGAAGGCACUUUACUGGGCUAUGACUAACACUCAGAGACGAAAGCUAGGGUAGCAAAUGGG
This 253-nucleotide ribosomal RNA is filed under the name uncultured bacterium. Its description in RNAcentral is "partial 16S ribosomal RNA". It matches the Rfam family "Bacterial small subunit ribosomal RNA", at positions 524 to 776 of the family's 1533-position model. The record is from RNAcentral.